ACKGCUCAGUAACACGUCGGUAACCUGCCCUACGGUCAGGGAUAAGCACGGGAAACUGUGUGUAACACCUGAUAAGGGAUGGACACUGGAAUGUUCCUUCCCUCAAACUCGUGCCGUAGGAUGGGCCGGCGGCGGAUUAGGCUGUUGGUGGGGUAACGGCCCACCAAACCUUUGAUCCGUACGGGCCAUGAGAGUGGUAGCCCGGAGAGGGACACUGAAAUACUGGUCCCAGCCCUACGGGGUGCAGCAGGCGCGAAACCUCCACAAUGCACGAAAGUGUGAUGGGGGGAUCCUACGUGCUCAUGUCUAACAUGGGCUUUUGUUGAGACUAGACAUCUUGGCGAAUAAGGGGUGGGUAAGACUGGUGCCAGCCGCCGCGGUAAUACCGGCGGCUCGAGUGGUGGCCACUAUUACUGGGCUUAAAGCGUUCGUAGCUGGUUUGUUAAGUCUCUGGGGAAAUCUGCCGGCUCAACCGGCAGGCGUUCCAGGGAUACUGGCAGACUAGGGACCGGGAGAGGUGAGGGGUACUCCAGGGGUAGGAGUGAAAUCCUGUAAUCCUUGGGGGACCACCUGUGGCGAAGGCGCCUCACCAGAACGGCUCCGACAGUGAGGGACGAAAGCUAGGGGAGCAAACCGGAUUAGAUACCCGGGUAGUCCCAGCCGUAAACGAUGCGCGUUAGGUGUAUCGGUGACCACGAGUCACCGAGGUGCCGAAGAGAAAUCGUGAAACGUGCCGCCUGGGAAGUACGGUCGCAAGGCUGAAACUUAAAGGAAUUGGCGGGGGAGCAC
RNAcentral lists this ribosomal RNA (789 nucleotides) under uncultured euryarchaeote. Its description in RNAcentral is "bacterial SSU rRNA". It matches the Rfam family "Archaeal small subunit ribosomal RNA", at positions 85 to 879 of the family's 1478-position model. Lineage: Archaea; Methanobacteriati; Methanobacteriota. The record is from RNAcentral.